RNAcentral lists this small nuclear RNA (104 nucleotides) under Neogale vison (American mink). Lineage: Eukaryota; Metazoa; Chordata; Mammalia; Carnivora; Mustelidae. The record is from RNAcentral.
GUGUUCACUUUGGCAGCACAUAUACUAAAAUUGGAGCAAUACAGAUAUUAGCAUGACCCCUGAGCAAGGAUCACACACAAAUUCUUGAAGCAGUCCAGAUUAAA